GGGUGCUAGAAUUGGCUUCUCCCUCAUGCAAAUAAAGCAUUUGGGGUGGUUGUCCUGUCAGAAACUCACUGGACCUGGCGUCAGAAUUAAACUGUCCUAUUGAAGCCUCUGUUACUUUUGUGCUACAUGCAAAUGAAGAAUUGAAGAUAUCACUUUCUGAUUGGCUGUGUGUACAAUGCUCAGAAAUUGUAGCAUCAUCUUGGAUUCUGUGUUCUGCACAGCUUUUGGUGUUUCGGAUCCUCAUGAAGUCUACUGGCAAUAAUUGGAGUCAAAUCUCAGAAGCCUCUUGGGAGAGUUUCACCAGAGUUCACAUUAGGGCCUUAAUAUCCAGGCAGACUGUACCAGCUUUCCAGGCAGGGCUGAAUAAUGAAAGCAGAAGCAGCCAAAAGCAAUGA
This 395-nucleotide long non-coding RNA is filed under the name Fukomys damarensis (Damara mole-rat). Its description in RNAcentral is "lncRNA (ENSFDAG00000022911.1)". Lineage: Eukaryota; Metazoa; Chordata; Mammalia; Rodentia; Bathyergidae. The record is from RNAcentral.